UACGAAGGAUGCGAGCGUUAUCCGGAUUUAUUGGGUUUAAAGGGAGCGUAGGCGGUCUUAUAAGUCAGUGGUGAAAUCCUAUCGCUUAACGAUAGACGUGCCAUUGAUACUGUAGGACUUGAGUACAGAUGCCGUUGGCGGAAUGUGUCAUGUAGCGGUGAAAUGCAUAGAUAUGACACAGAACACCGAUUGCGAAGGCAGCUGACGAAACUGUAACUGACGCUGAGGCUCGAAAGCGUGGGGAUCAAACAGG
Molecule: ribosomal RNA, 253 nt
Filed under: uncultured bacterium
Lineage: Bacteria
Description: partial 16S ribosomal RNA
Rfam family: Bacterial small subunit ribosomal RNA
Source: RNAcentral